Molecule: non-coding RNA, 22 nt
Filed under: Arabidopsis thaliana (thale cress)
Lineage: Eukaryota; Viridiplantae; Streptophyta; Magnoliopsida; Brassicales; Brassicaceae
Source: RNAcentral
CCGGUUCCUUAAAACUCUAGCC